This 465-nucleotide ribosomal RNA is filed under the name uncultured bacterium. RNAcentral's name for it is "partial 16S ribosomal RNA". It matches the Rfam family "Bacterial small subunit ribosomal RNA", at positions 28 to 507 of the family's 1533-position model. The record is from RNAcentral.
GACGAACGCUGGCGGCGUGCUUAACACAUGCAAGUCGAACGGAAAGGCCCCUUUGGGGGUACUCCAGUGGCGAACGGGUGAGUAACACGUGAGUAACCUGCCCUUGACUUCGGGAUAACUUCAGGAAACUGGGGCUAAUACCGGAUAGGAAUCCUUGCUGCAUGGUGGGGGUUGUAAAGCUUCGGCGGUUUUGGAUGGACUCGCGGCUUAUCAGCUUGUUGGUGGGGUAGUGGCUUACCAAGGCUUUGACGGGUAGCCGGCCUGAGAGGGCGACCGGCCACAGUGGGACUGAGAUACGGCCCAGACUCCUGCGGGAGGCAGCAGGGGGGAAUAUUGCACAAUGGGCGGAAGCCUGAUGCAGCAAAGCCGCGGGCGGGAGGACGGGCUUCGGGGUGAAAACCGCUUUCAGCAGGGGCGGAGCUGGUGGUGACGGUACCUGCAGAAGAAGCACCGGCUAACUACGUG